AGGGUUGUAGCUCAGUGGUAGAGCACUCGCCUGUCACGUGUGAGAACCUGGGUUCGAUCCUCAGCAACACAU
This 72-nucleotide transfer RNA is filed under the name Marmota marmota marmota (Alpine marmot). It matches the Rfam family "tRNA". From Rfam's summary of the family: Transfer RNA (tRNA) molecules are approximately 80 nucleotides in length. Their secondary structure includes four short double-helical elements and three loops (D, anti-codon, and T loops). RNAcentral also lists the same sequence under 1 other name. The record is from Rfam by way of RNAcentral. Lineage: Eukaryota; Metazoa; Chordata; Mammalia; Rodentia; Sciuridae.